This is a non-coding RNA of Triticum aestivum (bread wheat), 125 nucleotides long. The record is from Rfam. Lineage: Eukaryota; Viridiplantae; Streptophyta; Magnoliopsida; Poales; Poaceae.
UAAGUACUCCCUCCGUCCGGAAAUAUUCGUCGAAGAAAUGCAUAAAAAUAGAUGUAUCUAGAACUAAAAUACGUCUAGAUACAUCCAUUUCUCUGACAAGUAUUUUGGGACGGAGGGAGUAUUAG